GCGCUGCUCUCUUUGCUCUCUUUGUCUCCAUCUCAGGUGAAUUGUAGCCAUGUGAUCAAACGCCCAAGCCUCUAUCCAUUAACCCUCGUAAAUGGUGAAAAAAAAUGGGGGAACAAAAAGCAGUUUUGUACUGCAAACAUAGGGGAGAAAAAAAAUUUGAUAACAGAGAGCGAUGUGUGCGUCUUUCUCCCCUUAUGUCCGAGCAAAGACACAAGUCGCGCACACAGAAAAUCCUCUGCGGCGGAGGGGACACAUGGAUCUUUCUGUUCCUCUAGCGGCCGCCUUGACUUUGUUUCUCACCUGACUUACCUGGAUUUGGGCCUCCGCGGUGCUGAUGCGCCGCAUUUUGAAGGGGGAUGCUGAUGGAGGGUGGCGCGGAUGCGGCACCCCACAGAGGUGAGGAUUUCUGUGAGGCCUCCCAGUCUGUGGAGGUCUGAGCGAGAAGCAGUUGGGGUCAGAGCUUUGGCUCGGGGAAUUCCAGCUUUUUCGCUCGACUAUCAACACAAGCGGAUCUCAUGUGACUCCUCAGCUCGUUUGUUUCUGGCGUUCAUCUCCAAGCCUUCCUUCAGACAAACAGCUAGAGCACGAACGGACCGGGCCUUUCUGAGAUCUUACGGGUUGAGAUUUUGGUUCUGUCAUAUCAAAAUUGUACACUUGAUGGAAAAGGGGGGGGGGGGGGGGGGGGUCAAUGGCUGCAGGUGUUUUCUGUCUUAAUCACUUGUCUUGUAGGGUCCCUGAGUUGUGAUGAUGCGGUGACACGCCAUCCAUGCAGACGAAUGAGGAAGGAUUCCACUAUCUGACCUCUGUCACUCCCUUUUUUUGCCUAUUUUCACCCAGUGAAUUAGUGCAGCUGCGCCACACUUAAAUGGGUGCCCCUCUUUUUUUCCUCCAAGAGUGUAUGUGACCGACCAUGAAUCCUCUCUUUGUGCUCUGUCUGUAGAGCCCCCCCCCCCCCCCCCCCUCAUCCCCUCCUCCCCCUCCUCUAUAGUUUCUUGCCUUCUUCAUCUUUUCUAUUUGGGAAAGAGGGGCUUCGGUUGCGAUGGCGGCAGCACUGGUGAGGUGGUGGUGGUGGUAGCGAUGGUGGUGGUGGCGGCGGGGAGGAGAAGGUGGAGGGAGGGGUAACUUGUUGGACCACAUUCUUGUGCAGCUGUGGAGGCUGGUGGAGAGUGGGGGUGGAGGGCAGAGCGGGAUCAUCAUUGCAUUGCAGGGCAUCAUGAAUGGUCUAUUGUUCGCUGGUUGGCUCUGUCCACGUCUCUGUGCCACAACUUCAGGACGAAAUGUGAUGCAAAAAGCCAGAUAUGAGGAUCGAAAGCUUAAAAAAAAAAAAGAAUUU
Oryzias latipes (Japanese medaka) is the source of this 1333-nucleotide non-coding RNA. Lineage: Eukaryota; Metazoa; Chordata; Actinopteri; Beloniformes; Adrianichthyidae. The record is from RefSeq and is a predicted model, not a curated record.